ACAACACACAGCACAGUUUUCAUGUUUGUUAUGUGUUUUCUCUUCCUUAUAGAUCUGUUAGAGCCACGUCAAGGACUGCUGUGUCCAGGAGUGGAGAAAGGCUUAUGUGAGACAAGAGACUCUACUGUCAGAAGAAAGCAAGUGAUUUCAUCCUAGGUAACAGCUGACUCCUAUCUUCAGUUUUGUGUUCCUCGAAGAAUUCACUAGGAAAAUUCACGUGGAGCAACUCCAGCUAAAGAAGCAUGAAGACUAGUCUACUGGGGAAAGAAGAAAUGGGUUUCCAUGGACCUAUCAAUGAUACUCAUCACAGCUUUGUCUUUGCCGAGAAUCUACUCACCUACUUCAGCUUCUGCAUUAAAUUCCACUGAUCCCUGCUUGAGACAGCAAUGCCCAAGAUUGAUCUUAAAGGCUAAUGAAUUUCCCCAGCCAGAAGAAAGCACUGCUUUAAUCCAUCAUGCAGAGAGGAUCUGACGUCUGUAAUGUCGCUGUUACCAAAAAUAUCUGAUUCUGCAAUUUGGUGUGCAUCAGCUUUUGGAGUGAGCCUCUCAAAUCUCUACAGACCAAUGGAGACCAAGCAAGAUGCUCUCUAGCUGAACUAAGAAGAAAGGCAGCAAGUUUGGCCCAAAAGGUAGGAGAAGAUCUCAAUGCUCAGUGUGGGUCUGGUCACAGAGGAAAGUUACCACAAUGACACAAGACUAGAAGUCAUUCUGUCAUAACGAGUGAGUGAUAAGCAAUUAGUGUCUACCUGCUUUGAUAUGUAAAACACCGUUGCCAUCAAAGUCCAGGGGAAAAAGAAUCAUGGUUUUAUAAAUACAGCUUUAAACACCAUAUUUACAGAUGUAUUUGAAACUUCUGACUGCUUUGAGUAAGUGGUCUCCUUGAAAAUG
This 887-nucleotide long non-coding RNA is filed under the name Mus spicilegus (steppe mouse). RNAcentral describes it as "lncRNA (ENSMSIG00000013193.1)". The record is from RNAcentral. Lineage: Eukaryota; Metazoa; Chordata; Mammalia; Rodentia; Muridae.